AUACUUACCUGGCGGGGGCAACACUAUAAUCAAGAAGGUGGCUUGCCCAAAGUGAGGCUUAGCUAUUGCACUCAGGCUGCGCUGACCUUUGUGAAUUUCUCAAAUGUAGGAAUCUCAACUGCAUAAUUUCUGGUAGUGGGGGACUGUGUUCACACUCUCUCCUU
Molecule: small nuclear RNA, 164 nt
Organism: Neoarius graeffei (lesser salmon catfish)
Lineage: Eukaryota; Metazoa; Chordata; Actinopteri; Siluriformes; Ariidae
Product: U1 spliceosomal RNA
Exons: 1
Source: RefSeq, a predicted model, not a curated record